UUUUUUUUCUUUUCUUUUUUUUUUCAACAGCGUUUAGUAACACUACUCUAAAAUCAGGAUAGUCUUAUUUGUUACUUGUGUAAAUGAAUCAGAUAAAUCAAGAUGGUGUUAUUUAUGUGAAAUACAAUGUUUACCACCUGUGAUGCAUGUUAUACAUGCACAUAUUAAAAAUACAUGUUUUUCUGUAAAGAAACAUGUAUAACAUAUGUUGCUAAGAAUUCUUUUUCCUUAAUGAAUCAGGAUACUGUUCUGUAUAAAACUGAAAACAUUCUGUGCUUAGAGAUAUAUAUAUACAAAAGUUAUUUCUAAGAUUGCUAGUUAUGUGAACAAAUCAGGAUAAUGGUAUUUUUGUGAAACCCUACAUUCACCAAUUUGUACUUCACAUGUAAAAGAUGAUUGUAAGAAGGCUACUGGCCUGAAUGAAUCAGAUUAGUCUCAUUUCCUAGAAUUGCUAUGUCCAGCACCCUGAGUUGCAUGUUAUUCAUUCUCUAAAAAGAGAUGAUAAAAGAUGUUUAUAAGAAUGCUUGCUCUGUGGAUGAAUGAGGACAGGGUUAUUUCUGUGAAACACUGUGUUCAACAAAUGAGUGCCGCAGACGCCGCCUCCAACACUGGGGAUUAUAAUUCGACAUGAGAUUGGUGGAGACACUGAUACGGUUUGGCUCUGUAUCCCCACCCAAAUCUCAUCUCUAAUUGUAAUCCCCAUAUGUCAAGGGAGGAUCCUGGUGGGAGGUGAUUCGAUCAUGGGGGUUGUUUCUGCCAUGCUGUUCUUGUGACAGAGUUCUCACGAGAUUGGGUUGUUUGAUAAGCGGCACCUCUCCCUUCUGACUCUCUCCUGCCACCAUGUAAGACAUGCCUUGCUUCCCCUUCACCUUCCGCCACGAUUGUAAGUUUCCCGAGACCUCUCGAGCCAUACAGAACUGUGUGUCCAUUAAACCUCCUUUCUUUUCUUUCUUUAAACCAAUGAAACCAUUUUAUUACUGUUAAUCAGUUACUUAGAAAUCACUUUUACUAGAGUUUAGACUACUAACACCUUAGGGAGACUAUUCUCUCUUUUUUUCAUUAUUAUUUUUCAAAAGAGAGAAUGUUUCCGCUAUUCCUGAAAUUAGUAUGUUGAGGAAAUCUUUCCAUUAUCAGUAUCAUUUAAAUGAUGUUGAAGUCUGGGGAAAAGUAAAUUUUUUCCAAGGCUACACACAUAUCUAUUCUUUGAAUAUAGGAAACUGAAUAUGCAAAUCCAGACAGUUGCAGAAUUUUCACUGAGAGUCUGAGAAUGGGUAAGUGUGUUACUGUGAAUGGACUCUAUAGGCAGUAUUAAUUGUUUGCUUUCAGACACCAUCUCUCAGUGUGAGAUCUCAAAGUCCCAAAAAUCAAGUGUUGUUUCUUCCGUCUUUGUUCUUUGCUUCUUUCUUUUUUUUUUUUAAUUAUACUUUAAGUUCUGGGAUACAUGUCCAGAACGUGCAGGUUUGUAACAUAGGUAUACAUAGGCCAUGGUGUGAACCUCCUUUCUUUAUAAAUUACUCAGUCUCAGGUAGUAUCUUUAUAGCAGUGUGAGA
RNAcentral lists this long non-coding RNA (1550 nucleotides) under Macaca fascicularis (crab-eating macaque). Its description in RNAcentral is "lncRNA (ENSMFAG00000055198.1)". Lineage: Eukaryota; Metazoa; Chordata; Mammalia; Primates; Cercopithecidae. The record is from RNAcentral.